GUGAAAAUUUCGUCUGCAGCGAAAGUAGUAGCCAAAUUUCGAGUUUUGGACUUUUAAAGAAUGACGAUCUUAAAGUUUUUGAAUUUAGACUUUCUGUCAUUUGUAAAUCACAUGUAAAAAAAGGAAACUUGUGAUGACUAAUGAAAAAGAUAAUCCUUUGAGUAAAAAAUAAGAAAUAACCAUGAGAAUAUGGGGUCGCAGAAAUAGAUGUCAACUGGUGGAAAAUAAGAAGAUUUGGUGAGGAACAUCCAAUCUGUCGAUCGCGGUCGCUAACCAAUUGGUAGAAAAACAGCACCAAUAAUGGUUAGAAGGUGUGCUGUGAAGUGGCGUGAUAAUUUUAAUCAUGGACAUUCAGGUUUCAUUUCGUGAUUUGUCAGGUCGAACUCGGAUGUGCUUUAUUCGAGAUUUUAACAUAAAUUGCAUUUUAUACAUAAAAAAAAUUAUCAUAAAGCUACAAUGUUACAGCAUUACCCGAGGCAUUACCCGUACUAUGGCUCGUCCCGGUUUGUAUUGCUUUGUAUAAUCUUUAGUUGAACGCUAAAUAUAUUAGAGGCUAGCUAAGAGAAUUUGGCUAGAUCUUUACAAGAUUAGUGAAUGUGAUUUUUUAAAGAAAUUCUGCCUGUUGCACAUCGAUAUAAUUGGCCUUGAUUCUUAAAGGUGGCUUGAUGGCUAAACUUUCGACGGUUAAAGUUAAACUCUAUUUAAUAAAUAGAUAAUAUAACAU
Molecule: long non-coding RNA, 724 nt
Organism: Daphnia pulicaria
Lineage: Eukaryota; Metazoa; Arthropoda; Branchiopoda; Diplostraca; Daphniidae
Exons: 3
Source: RefSeq, a predicted model, not a curated record